RNAcentral lists this ribosomal RNA (270 nucleotides) under uncultured bacterium. RNAcentral describes it as "partial 16S ribosomal RNA". It matches the Rfam family "Bacterial small subunit ribosomal RNA", at positions 84 to 354 of the family's 1533-position model. The record is from RNAcentral.
UUAUAUACUUAGUGGCGGACGGGUGAGUAACGCGUGGGCAACCUGCCCCGUGCCGGGGGAUACCGCCUGGAAACAGGCGCUAAUACCGCAUAAGCGCAUACAGCCGCAUGGGUGUAUGCGGAAAGCUCCGGCGGCACGGGAUGGGCCCGCGCCCGAUUAGCCAGUUGGCGGGGUAACGGCCCACCAAAGCGACGAUCGGUAGCCGGCCUGAGAGGGCGGACGGCCACAUUGGGACUGAGACACGGCCCAAACUCCUACGGGAGGCAGCAG